Molecule: ribosomal RNA, 447 nt
Filed under: uncultured bacterium
Lineage: Bacteria
Description: bacterial SSU rRNA
Rfam family: Bacterial small subunit ribosomal RNA
Source: RNAcentral
GUCCAGACUCCUACGGGAGGCAGCAGUGGGGAAUAUUGCACAAUGGGGGAAACCCUGAUGCAGCGACGCCGCGUGAGUGAAGAAGUAUUUCGGUAUGUAAAGCUCUAUCAGCAGGGAGGAAAAUGACGGUACCUGACUAAGAAGCCCCGGCUAACUACGUGCCAGCAGCCGCGGUAAUACGUAGGGGGCAAGCGUUAUCCGGAUUUACUGGGUGUAAAGGGAGCGUAGACGGCAUGGCAAGUCAGAUGUGAAAGCCCGGGGCUCAACCCCGGGACUGCAUUUGAAACUGUCAGGCUGGAGUGCAGGAGAGGUAAGUGGAAUUCCUAGUGUAGCGGUGAAAUGCGUAGAUAUUAGGAGGAACACCAGUGGCGAAGGCGGCUUACUGGACUGUAACUGACGUUGAGGCUCGAAAGCGUGGGGAGCAAACAGGAUUAGAUACCCCAGUAA